CUACGUGCCAGCAGCCGCGGUAAUACGGAGGGUGCGAGCGUUAUCCGGAUUUAUUGGGUUUAAAGGGUGCGUAGGCGGCCUGUUAAGUCAGCGGUGAAAUCUAGGAGCUUAACUCCUAAAUUGCCAUUGAUACUGGCGGGCUUGAGUGUAGAUGAGGUAGGCGGAAUGCGUGGUGUAGCGGUGGAAUGCAUAGAUAUCACGCAGAACUCCGAUUGCGAAGGCAGCUUACUAAGGUACAACUGACGCUGAAGCACGAAAGCGUGGGUAUCAAACAGGAUUAGAUACCCUGGUAGUCCACGCAGUAAACGAUGAUAACUGGGCGUAUGCGAUAUACAGUAUGCUCCUAAGCGAAAGCGUUAAGUUAUCCACCUGGGGAGUACGCCGGCAACGGUGAAACUCAAAGGAAUUGACGGGGGCCCGCACAAGCGGAGGAACAUGUGGUUUAAUUCGAUGAUACGCGAGGAACCUUACCCGGGAUUGAAAUGUAGAUG
This 491-nucleotide ribosomal RNA is filed under the name uncultured bacterium. RNAcentral's name for it is "bacterial SSU rRNA". It matches the Rfam family "Bacterial small subunit ribosomal RNA", at positions 501 to 994 of the family's 1533-position model. The record is from RNAcentral.